UGUGGGACAAGCUCUAACAAUCCUUGUGAAACUAUUCUUGAGCUAAGUAUUAUACUAAAUAAAAAAUCUACUACUCCAUUAGUAUUGUAUGGUGGACAAGUCUGAUUCUCUCUCGCAAAGUCUCUGUUCUUGCUUCUUAAUGAAUUAAUUCCCUUGCCAUUAGAAAUUGUAUGGCAUGGUCGAAGAUUGGAUAUCCUACCGUAUAAAAAGAACCACUCAGUGACUUGUCACUUUUCCAAUUUGGCCAAUUUUACUCCCUGUUUGGGGACAUGCAGUGCUGUCCGAUUGGGCAUAAUCGUAAUUUUGCCAUGAGGGGCAGUUUCAUCUGUUUCACUUCACUGCCUUUUUAACCACAAACGGCAACGUAGCGAAAAAAAUUCACUUAUGUCUCUUCACUUUUCUCUCUCUAUCUCACACACACACACAACACACAUGCACCUACAUAGAGGUAGAGGCAGAUCAACACGUUUAGAGAGAUGGAAAGAGGGAGAGGAAGAGAUGCGAGACCUGAGGCAGAUUUGAUGAGGUGAAGAGGGAGAGGAAGAUAUGCGGGAUUUGUGGCAGAUCUGACAGGGCAUGGAACUGGCUUUUAGAUUUUUGGUAGAACCCUAACUGGGAAUACGGAAUUCUAUUGGCUUCUGGACAAGUUAGCAACAUUUGAAUGUACAAGUUUCCAGAAGAGGGCAUCAAGCUUGCGUGUGUUGAACUCGGUGUCCUAUUGCAUAAUGAUUUUUUGCUCAAGGUGAAACCUCUUAGCUGCAUAUUUGACAUUAAAACUACAUUGUGAUGUCAUGGAUUAGAAGAGCUGCAUGUGUUAUUUUUGUACUUUAUAAGGUUUGUUGUGAUCAUACUUGAUUUCUUUGGCUAUGGACUAAAAAUUUUUCACACUAAUUCUUUAUGUGACCUAUUUUAUUGGAACCAUUGAGAGAAGAAUUGAAAGGAACUUUAUUCAGGGAAACAAGAUUGAAGUUGGAGAGUGAAAGAACGCUUGAUAUGUCCGACCAAUUUUGAAUGACCAUGCAGAGAUUUUUACUUCAUAAUUAACAAAAGAUAGGGCUUAAUGUUAUCUCCCUUACUUCCUCAAGAUUGGUUUGUCACGUUUAAUUGGAGUCGGUCCUCCAAUGUCACAUCAGGUAUUCAGAGAAAUCAAAUGAGAGAUUAGGUUUUUAAUAUUUUUUGUUUGGUUUGGGUUUGCUUCUUCACCUACUAUUGGCAUCUUUCUUAGUAGCAUGGGGGUGGGGGGGUGUUGUGCACCUAAAAGCUUCUAAGGUUGGGAGCGCCUAAGGAGUGUAUUUAAAUUAUAUAAAACUAUGUAUAUAAAAUAUCUUUAAAUACUUAACCAUUAGAGGAAAGUGAUACUGAAAAUUUAUCUGAUCUUAAAGUGUAAUUAAUGGAAGUUGUAUAUUCUCAAUUUACAAAACUUCUUGACUAAUGUGAUUCUUUUAUGCUUAUUUUCACAAUGGCAUAACUCCCUUGAAAGUAAGAUAGUAACUGCCUUACUGGCCCGAUAAGCUCUCAUCUUAGUUAGGAGCGAGCUCCCGUCUUGGAGCGUCGAUUCAAGCUCUUGUCUUGGGAGCGCACCCAUUUUAGAAGGAUCCUACUACUAAGGUAUGUUUUAUAUUUUGAUGAGGUUGUUCCUAAAUUUUAUUCAAAUGCCGAUUAUUACUUUUAAAAACAUGAACAGUUUAUCAUUUAAUACUACUAUUAUCUCGACUCUUGAACUUGUUUAGAAUUUUGUUCUAGAUCUUUCCCUUUACCACUUCAACACUGGGGAGUAUUUUCCUGUUGAGAUCAAGUUAAAGUGUGGACAUACGGCGUUCAAGGCUAUGGCCACCAUUAAACUUUUAAGCGUUCGUCCUCUUUUUGUAUUUUAGUGUUUCUUUGGAUAACAAAUGGGCACCAUCAAAGUUUUAAGUGUUCAUCUUGUUUGAUUACGUUCUUUGUAUAAUGUAGAUUACUUGAGGCGAUGCAUUUGGAUGGGGGACAAAACUGGAACUCUCGAAUCACCAAGACUACAUGAAACCCGUAUAGAAAAAUGGGUUAUUUUCCUAGACACCCCUCCAAGCAUACCUGUUUUUCAUGGUCACCCCCUCUACAAAUUUUGCCCACGACGAUAGCCCCUCAUUAAAGUAUACUUUUUUCCUAAAUCCCUUCUGUCAGCCUUCCGUCAAGAACCGUUAAUUUUCUCUAAAAUAACCACCCCCCCCCUAAAGAGUGACCUGAUUUCUCCUCCUCAUCUCUGAGACUUUGGGCUUACCUCAAUGCUCACCAUAACUGACCUUUUUGUGAUAUUUGUGGUUUUACUUCUGCUGCUCUCAAACAACAGAACUACUUGCAUCUGGGGUGAACUCAACGUUUGCCAUGAUAAGUGGUUUUAAAACACCACAAACGAAUCUGGGAUCUAGAUUGUUUUUCAAUAUCCCGAUUCAACCUACCCAAAUCAAAAUCUUGGUAAAACCCCACAAACGAAUCUGGGAUCUAGAUUGUUUUUCAAUAUCCCCAUUCAACCUACCCAAAUCAAAAAUCUUGGUAAGUAGUGCUCAUGAAAGCCCUUUGGAAAUUACCAGAGAUGGUUAUGCUGAAUUAGAUGGAAAUUGUGUGUGGGAUUUGUAACCUGUUUGCAGACUGUAAUCUAUGCUAAGAUAUCCGUUUUGGGGAUGUUCUUGAUCUUUCUCAUCUAACGUUCUCUAUAGUUUGUUUGUUGUCAAUAAGAAGUUAUGAGAGAGAGAUACUGUGGAGUUUGUUGUUGGCGGUGGUCGGGAAGAGGCAAGCCAAAAGAGGUGGAGGUGGGUGGUGUUGAUGAUGCUGUUAGGAAAAUGUCAAUUUUCUCCUCAAUUUGUUGGCCAUUUUUUAGACCCCAUUUGGGAGAGAAGACGAGAAGAGAGAUGAUAAAUUUGGGUUUUGUUGAGAGAGAGAGAGAUGGGAAUCGGGAGAGAGAAGGUGACGGUGAGUUUGGUGGCGGCGGUAGCGGUGGUGGUCGGGGAUACCAAAGCCAGAUGAGUAGAGGUGGGGGGUGAAUGGGCCCCACGCUGGGGUUUUCAACUUUUGUUGUGUUUUUGUUCCCUUUUUUUUUUUUUGCUGACAAACAGAGAGAGAAGUGUGGCUCUAGGUAUAUAUAUGCAAGGGUAAAAUGGUCUUUUCAUUUAUUUCAUCCAACGGAAUUUAGUCCUCCAAAUGCAAACUUUAAUGAGGGGGGGUCUCACCGUAGGCGAAAUUCGUGGAGGGAGAGACCGUGAAAAACGGGUAUACUUGGAGGGGUGACUGUGAAAAACGGGUAUAAUUUGGACAUGAGGGGCAGUUUCAUCUGUUCACUUCAGGCCCUUUUGGCACAUGUGGACCACAAACGGCCACGUGAAAAAACUUCUCUCUCUCUCUCUCUCUCACACACACUCACACACUCACCUACGCAGAGGAAGAGGCAGAUCAACACGUUUAGAGAGACAGAAAGAGGGAGAGGAGGAUAUGCGAGACUUGAGGCAGAUUCGACAAGGUGAAGAGGGAGGGGAAGAGGUGCAAGACUACGGCAGAUCCGUCGGGACAUGGAAUUGGGUUUCAGAUUUUCGUCAUGGUAACACGGUAAGACGAAUUGACUCCAAGCAAACCCUCUUUGCCACCCAACUCUUUUUUCAACUAAUCGGAACGGUCACAGAAGGGAAAAGAAAAGUUUAGUUCCUACCGAUUUCUCUAUGACUCUACAACUAUGCUCGAAUGGGUAAUCCCUAAAAAAAUAAACGCCCCUUUGGUUGUGUGUUUCUCUGAUCUGUUUGCAUUGAUCUCGGAUGUGUUUUAUGUAUGCAUGUAUGUUUGCACAUGUGUUGCCAUUCAAAAAGUGUUUGCCCAAAAAAAGUGUUUCCAACCGAUUUCUCUGUGAUUCUGGUAAUGAAAUUAGCUUUCGUUUUUCUUUGUUUUUCGGAUUUUGGUUUUGGCUAAAAUGAAAAAAAUCAUGUUUCCUUUUGCUUGUUAUCGGUUUUUUUUUUUUUGGAUAAUGGGUUGUCUAGGCCAGCUUGUGCUCAAGAGGGUUAGCGGAUUACAAUACAUUAAGACCUCUGAGCUAUGGUGGGGCUGAUGUCUUUAUACUUGCAUUCUCUGUCAUUUGCAAGGCCAGUUUAUGAAGAUAUAUCUAUGAAGAUAUAUCAAAAAAGUGGAUUCUUGAAUUGAGGCAUUAUGCUCCUGGGGUCGCAGUGGUUCUUGUUGGAACAAAACUUGGUUAGACUCUCUUAACCAUCCUUUUUAUCAUUCUAGUAUGGUGCCUUAGUGGGGAUUUUUGCUCAUUUUUUGUGAAUACCUGCUUCUAUUCUUAGUUUUUUUCUUAUAUCAAAGCACUACUAGAUUUACAUGUAUACUUUUAUGUGAGAUUGGUAAUUAGGCUACCUACUCGAUGCAUGUAUGUGGCUAGAUGAAUCUAGAGUAAUGUCUUGGCUCAACUGUGAUCGCAAUACUAUAUGGACAACACAGUUAAAGAGCUUCUAAAGGUGAAGGCUUGUGGAUGGGUUCCUAAGGGUAUUCCUCAAGUUUUGUUUCUUUUUGAUUUGUGCAGAUUGUAGUUCUCACAAAAUCCAGUGAGCCUCUACGUCUACAUGUCAAUUAUAAUGUGUGAAAGUUUUGCUCAGAAUUUGUUUUUGGUAGCUCAUAAUUCAUGGAUUUUCUUGUUUUUACAUGUAGGUGCAAAAGAAGAUAUCACCACCCCAAUAAACAAGAAGCACCAAAAAAAGCUUACGAAUUUAGUAACCCAUUUACUAAAUACAAUAUUAGAGAAAGAAGCAAAAAUCUAGGAAAUGUGAAAGGUUAAGAAAAAUGAAAAUGAAAGGGAGAAGAAGCAAAAGGGUAUUUGAGUCAAAAAAACAAAAAACUUUUCGUUUCAUCCAAUAUGCCAAGUUGCCAACUAGUAUUACUAUUUCCUAUGUUAGUGAAGUUUGUUGAACUCAUUUAUUGAGCACUAACAUAUGCUUUAGGGGCAUACAUUAACAAAAUCCUAUUAGAUAAUCCCCA
Rhododendron vialii is the source of this 4989-nucleotide long non-coding RNA. RefSeq lists it as uncharacterized. The transcript has 3 exons. Lineage: Eukaryota; Viridiplantae; Streptophyta; Magnoliopsida; Ericales; Ericaceae. The record is from RefSeq and is a predicted model, not a curated record.